Long non-coding RNA from Coregonus clupeaformis (lake whitefish), 336 nucleotides. RefSeq lists it as uncharacterized. The transcript has 3 exons. Lineage: Eukaryota; Metazoa; Chordata; Actinopteri; Salmoniformes; Salmonidae. The record is from RefSeq and is a predicted model, not a curated record.
CCGGUCGCCAUUGGGCUAUAGUUAUCCAUACUUGAGCUAGCGCGAGCCAAACAACACUAAAUUAAAAUGGAGCCAGGACUGAACGUGGCCGGUACAAGAACAUAACGUCGAGGUUUACAAGUGGGUUGAAUUGUCCAAGAUCCCACUACCAGGCCUGUGAUGAUUACUGAUCAGAACCUGCUGUGAGCGGGAACUGAACACUUUCAUCAUCAGAUAAGCCCCCAAUCAGUGCCCCACCACUACAGAGCAGCAGCUAUUCUAGAGGACUAUAAAGUUGAGAAGGAGGACGGAGAAGAUAAGGAAGACCAAGAGCAUGGUGACAAUGAUACUGAGGAA